CUGCUAACGCGGGGGUCCUGCGCUGCACAUCGCAAUCUGUUCUACGGAUUGUCCGUGUGUCGCGGGUGAGAAAUACCCUUUGAACCUGAUCUGGAUAAUGCCAGCGCAGGGAAGCGUUCGGAUUUUGCCG
This 130-nucleotide non-coding RNA is filed under the name Burkholderia sp. RNAcentral's name for it is "TPP sequence". It matches the Rfam family "TPP riboswitch aptamer (THI element)". Rfam says of the family: Vitamin B(1) in its active form thiamin pyrophosphate (TPP) is an essential coenzyme that is synthesised by coupling of pyrimidine and thiazole moieties in bacteria. The record is from RNAcentral. Lineage: Bacteria; Pseudomonadati; Pseudomonadota; Betaproteobacteria; Burkholderiales; Burkholderiaceae. RNAcentral also lists the same sequence under 1 other name.